CUCCCCGUAGCUCAGUGGAAGAGCGUGCGUUUCCGAGGCGCAUGAGCGCGAGUUCAAUUCUCGCCGGGGAGUCCA
The sequence is a transfer RNA, 75 nucleotides long. It matches the Rfam family "tRNA". From Rfam's summary of the family: Transfer RNA (tRNA) molecules are approximately 80 nucleotides in length.